This 416-nucleotide ribosomal RNA is filed under the name Vibrio parahaemolyticus. RNAcentral's name for it is "bacterial SSU rRNA". It matches the Rfam family "Bacterial small subunit ribosomal RNA", at positions 1122 to 1533 of the family's 1533-position model. Lineage: Bacteria; Pseudomonadati; Pseudomonadota; Gammaproteobacteria; Vibrionales; Vibrionaceae. The record is from RNAcentral.
CGAGUAAUGGCGAGAACUCCAGGGAGACUGCCGGUGAUAAACCGGAGGAAGGUGGCGACGACGUCAAGUCAUCAUGGCCCGUACGAGUAGGGCUACACACGUGCUACAAUGGCGCAUACAGAGGGCAGCCAACUUGCGAAAGUGAGCGAAUCCCAAAAAGUGCGUCGUAGUCCGGAUUGGAGUCUGCAACUCGACUCCAUGAAGUCGGAAUCGCUAGUAAUCGUGGAUCAGAAUGCCACGGUGAAUACGUUCGCGGGCCUUGUACACACCGCCCGUCACACCAUGGGAGUGGGCUGCAAAAGAAGUAGGGAGUUUAACCUUCGGGGGGACGCUUCCCACUUUGUGGUUCAUGACUGGGGUGAAGUCGUAACAAGGUAGCGCUAGGGGAACCUGGCGCUGGAUCACCUCCUUAAACG